Molecule: transfer RNA, 108 nt
Filed under: Nestor notabilis (Kea)
Lineage: Eukaryota; Metazoa; Chordata; Aves; Psittaciformes; Psittacidae
Rfam family: tRNA
About the family: Transfer RNA (tRNA) molecules are approximately 80 nucleotides in length. Their secondary structure includes four short double-helical elements and three loops (D, anti-codon, and T loops). Further hydrogen bonds mediate the characteristic L-shaped molecular structure. tRNAs have two regions of fundamental functional importance: the anti-codon, which is responsible for specific mRNA codon recognition, and the 3' end, to which the tRNAs corresponding amino acid is attached (by aminoacyl-tRNA synthetases). tRNAs cope with the degeneracy of the genetic code in two manners: having more than one tRNA (with a specific anti-codon) for a particular amino acid; and 'wobble' base-pairing, i.e. permitting non-standard base-pairing at the 3rd anti-codon position.
Source: Rfam by way of RNAcentral
GUCAGGAUGGCCGAGUGGUCUAAGGCGCCAGACUCAAGGCAUUGCUUUCCCUGUGCUGGGAAUUCUGGUCUCCGAAUGGAGGCGUGGGUUCAAAUCCCACUUCUGACA